Molecule: ribosomal RNA, 914 nt
Filed under: uncultured cyanobacterium
Lineage: Bacteria; Bacillati; Cyanobacteriota
Description: bacterial SSU rRNA
Rfam family: Bacterial small subunit ribosomal RNA
Source: RNAcentral
ACGGAGCAAUACCGCGUGCGGGAGGACGGCCUUUGGGUUGUAAACCGCUUUUCUCAGGGAAGAAGUUCUGACGGUACCUGAGGAAUCAGCAUCGGCUAACUCCGUGCCAGCAGCCGCGGUAAUACGGGGGAUGCAAGCGUUAUCCGGAAUUAUUGGGCGUAAAGCGUCCGCAGGUGGUUUGUCAAGUCUGCUGUUAAAGCGUGGAGCUUAACUCCAUAUCGGCGGUGGAAACUGAUGAACUAGAGGGUGGUAGGGGUCACGGGAAUUCCCAGUGUAGCGGUGAAAUGCGUAGAUAUUGGGAAGAACACCAGCGGCGAAAGCGCGUGACUGGGCCAUUACUGACACUCAUGGACGAAAGCUAGGGGAGCGAAAGGGAUUAGAUACCCCUGUAGUCCUAGCCGUAAACGAUGGACACUAGGUGUUGCCCGAUCGACCCGGGCAGUGCCGUAGCUAACGCGUUAAGUGUCCCGCCUGGGGAGUACGCACGCAAGUGUGAAACUCAAAGGAAUCGACGGGGGCCCGCACAAGCGGUGGAGUAUGUGGUUUAAUUCGAUGCAACGCGAAGAACCUUACCAGGGCUUGACAUGUCGCGAAUCCCCUUGAAAGGGGGGAGUGCCUUCGGGAGCGCGAGCACAGGUGGUGCAUGGCUGUCGUCAGCUCGUGUCGUGAGAUGUUGGGUUAAGUCCCGCAACGAGCGCAACCCACGUUUCUAGUUGCCAGCAUUCAGUUGGGCACUUUAGAGAGACUGCCGGUGACAAACCGGAGGAAGGUGUGGAUGACGUCAAGUCAGCAUGCCCCUUACGUCCUGGGCUACACACGUACUACAAUGCUUCGGACAGAGGGUUGCCAGCCCGCGAGGGUGCGCUAAUCCCGUAAACCGAGGCUCAGUUCAGAUUGCAGGCUGCGACUCGCCU